AACGAACGCUGGCGGCAGGCCUAACACAUGCAAGUCGAGCGGCAGCACGGGUACUUGUACCUGGUGGCGAGCGGCGGACGGGUGAGUAAUGCCUAGGAAUCUGCCUGGUAGUGGGGGAUAACGCUCGGAAACGGACGCUAAUACCGCAUACGUCCUACGGGAGAAAGCAGGGGACCUUCGGGCCUUGCGCUAUCAGAUGAGCCUAGGUCGGAUUAGCUAGUUGGUGAGGUAAUGGCUCACCAAGGCGACGAUCCGUAACUGGUCUGAGAGGAUGAUCAGUCACACUGGAACUGAGACACGGUCCAGACUCCUACGGGAGGCAGCAGUGGGAAUAUUGGACAAUGGGCGAAAGCCUGAUCCAGCCAUGCCGCGUGUGUGAAGAAGGUCUUCGGAUUGUAAAGCACUUUAAGUUGGGAGGAAGGGCAGUUACCUAAUACGUAUCUGUUUUGACGUUACGACAGAAUAAGCACCGGCUAACUCUGUGCCAGCAG
This 491-nucleotide ribosomal RNA is filed under the name uncultured bacterium. Its description in RNAcentral is "bacterial SSU rRNA". It matches the Rfam family "Bacterial small subunit ribosomal RNA", at positions 29 to 514 of the family's 1533-position model. The record is from RNAcentral.